GCAGUGGCAGCUGCAGGGUGGGUGGAUGCUCCAGCACAACAGUCCAUGGGUGCCCACCCAUGUGUUCUCUCCUCCUUCCAGCACAGUGAUGGCACCUUCUGUGUGAAACCCCUCAAGCAGAAGCAAGUGGUGGAUGGUGUGAGCUACCUCCUGCAGGAGAUCUACGGCAUUGAGAACAAGUACAACACACAGGAUUCCAAGGUGGCCGAGGACGAGGUGAGCGAUAACAGCGCCGAGUGCGUCGUCUGCCUGUCGGACGUGCGUGACACCCUCAUCCUGCCCUGCCGGCACCUCUGCCUCUGCAACACCUGCGCCGACACCCUGCGCUACCAGGCCAACAACUGCCCCAUCUGCAGGCUGCCUUUCCGAGCCCUGCUUCAAAUCCGAGCCAUGAGGAAGAAGCUGGGUCCCCUCUCGCCCACCGGCUUCAACCCCAUCAUCGCCUCACAGACCUCAGACUCCGAGGAGCACUCGUCCUCAGAGAACAUUCCCCCUGGCUAUGAGGUGGUGUCACUGCUGGAGGCCCUCAACGGGCCACUGACACCCUCGCCGGCUGCUCUGCCACUGCGGGCCCUGGGGGACCCCCCGGGCGUGGGGACCCUCCCCUCCUAUGGCAGUGACGGCCCCCUACCUGCCCUGAGGGCCCUCUCGCCCCUCCAGCGCCUGCCCGACUGCGGCCCCCCGGGGCUCAAGCUGAAGAAGAGCAUCUCCAAGUCCAUCUCGCAGAACUCCUCCAUCCUGCCUGAAGAGGAGGACGAGAAGUCGUGCACUGAGUCGGAGCCGAGGGUCUCCAGGAGGAGAUCCCCGGCCCGGUGCGAGGAGGAAUGUGGUGUGACACCAGAGAGUGAAAACUUCACCCUGUCAUCAUCAGGAGCCAUUGACCAGUCCUCAUGCACUGGGACACCCCUCUCCUCCACCAUCUCGUCCCCAGAAGGUACAGAGCCCGUCAGCAGCAGCCUGGCUCAGUCCGUCAUGUCCAUGGCCUCCUCCCAGAGCCAGCACUCCCAGCUCAGCACAGACACUGUGUCCUCCAUGUCUGGCUCCUACGUUGCUCCUGGCACAGAGGAGGAAGAGGAGGAGGAGGAGGAGGGGGACAUGCUCCCCUCACCUGCGGCCGCAAGCGUCACAGCCUCUGAUGGAGAGUCAACGCCUGUGGAAUCCCCAGAUGUGAACUUUGUCAGCAUCUCUGCCGAGGAGCUCGAUGCUGAGGGCAACGAUGUGCUGGAGGAUGAGGACGCCUCUCCCACGCAGGAAGACGGCCCGAGGACAGGCGCUUUCCUCGGUCUGAGGUGUGACAAUAACAAUGACAUGGGCAUCGCACACGUGAAAGCGCUGGACAAUAAACUGUGCUCUGAGGCCUGCUUACCUGGCUCCUCCGUCCGUGUGAAAGUUCAUGUUCGCUCUGUGCCAACACGGUUUUCUCCACCCAUGCUUGUGUCCCCUCCCUGCCCAGAGUUGCACAAAGGUGACAAAUGUAUUGGUGACCCCUGGUCCCUGCACAGACCAAAGGGAGCAGUGGGCUGGGGACCCUUCCUCAGCCUGUGUGUGGAGAAAUGGGGCAAAAAACUAAGACAAAGCCCUCCGAGGGGUCUCCAUCAAUACAUUUGUGGACAAGCUGAAAGCAACUCUGCCCUUGCCUUGCCCCUUUGCCUAACUUUGUGGCAGGUCUGAGACCUGCAGCAGGUGCUGGAGAGCCGAGAGGGUGGGUGAAACCCACUGGAGGGAAGGGAAAUCCUUUUUUCCCUGCUACUCCUUUGGGAAAGCCUCCUCUCCUGCUGCUUUGCCUGCUCCUGGUGGUUUCUGUGCCGGAGAAACACAGCUGAGGCUCUUGGGGAGGAACAGGCUCCUGCCACAAAAGUCCUGUGUCCCCUCCAUCACCCUCUGGAAGCAGCUGCCUGAGCCCUGCCCAGGAGGGCUGGGGAGGGAGCUGGGGGGGAUAUCUCAGCAGCACCUCUGCCUUGCUGGGGAGCCUGGCAAAGCAUCCCUUGGCUGUGGGACCAGCCAAAGCCAUCCUUGACUGCAUCCCCCUUGGUUGUGCCGGGGGGAGGAUGAGGAAGGGGGAGCUUUGCAGCCCAGACGGCUCCAGCACAGGGUCAGAUUCUUGCUCUGCUGUGAGGAGUGCACUGGCCGUGUCCCCAGCCUGGGCUGGGGUGCAGGAUCUGGCCCCUGGGACGAGCCCAGCCAAGGAUGGACUCUCCAUCCUUUGGCCACCACGCCAGUCCCUGUGUCCAGCGGCUGUGCUGCUUGGAGCCCUCAGCACGGAGCUGCCCUGCUGCCAGCAUGAGGGGUGAGCCAGCCUUGGCAUUUGCGGGGAAAAGCAGGGAAUUGCUACUCGUGCCAGGACCAGGGGCAGAGGAGGUGCAGAGCAGGAGCUUUGGGGCUGCCCCUGGUCGCCUGAGGAUGGCAGAGGGACCAGUGGGAAGAACACCAGUGAUGUUCUCCAUCCCUUUACACUCACUGUAGGACAUGAUGUGUUUUUUCCACAUCGUGAUGGACAGUGAUUAAUGUUUUACAACUUUCCUUUUUCAGAUGUACCAGUUUGUGUAGAUCAGGAUGUUCCAACAGUUUUUAACCAGGCCGCCGUGCCGGACUCCUGCCCCAUUAACAUUGAGGAAUAGGCCCAGAGGCCGCCAACAACAACGUGCGGCUGCAGCAGACGCCCCGGCC
Manacus vitellinus (golden-collared manakin) is the source of this 2667-nucleotide RNA transcript. It is a transcript of the gene named ring finger protein 157, with no coding region annotated. The record is from RefSeq and is a predicted model, not a curated record. The transcript is spliced from 14 exons. Lineage: Eukaryota; Metazoa; Chordata; Aves; Passeriformes; Pipridae.